This 553-nucleotide long non-coding RNA is filed under the name Nicotiana benthamiana. RNAcentral's name for it is "long non-coding RNA (NBEN_LNC016613)". Lineage: Eukaryota; Viridiplantae; Streptophyta; Magnoliopsida; Solanales; Solanaceae. The record is from RNAcentral.
UGGCUUGUUCAUCCAUUGUGGGCUGCCCGUGUGAAUAAGGAAGCUUCUCAUGGCGGUAUGGUUGGCUUGUUCAACCAUUGUGGGCUGCCCGUGUGAAUAAGGAAGCUUCCCAUGGCGGCUAUGGUUUGAACAUCUAGAAGUACGGCUGAAAGUCAUCAUCUUCCUCCUGUUUUAAUCGAGUCUUAUUCGUUCGAUUUUCCUCUAAAUUUUCCUUUUAUUCUUGCAAAUCUUGCACCUUAUUAUCUAAACUCUUAUGGUUAGACACUUUUCCGGCAAGAGCUCUAAUGUCAGAAAUCAUCUUUUAUAUUAGCUCACGCAAUUCUCCUACUUUUGCUGAAGAACUCUCGUUUAAUCUUGUUCCUUUCAUCGUUUUCAUACCAAGGAAAAGGCUGCUCAGAAACUGUUGGUAUCUCAAUCGCAGGAAUUCACAUAGAACUCAAGAAUUGAAGAGCUAAGCUAGGAGUUUGACGGAGAAACUCUAAGAUCACAACUUAUGAAAUGCAGAAAUUAUACUUGAGAGAAAGAGAUUGAGAGAGAGAGAGAGAGAUUGUAA